This 626-nucleotide ribosomal RNA is filed under the name uncultured Verrucomicrobiota bacterium. RNAcentral describes it as "bacterial SSU rRNA". It matches the Rfam family "Bacterial small subunit ribosomal RNA", at positions 71 to 680 of the family's 1533-position model. Lineage: Bacteria; Pseudomonadati; Verrucomicrobiota. The record is from RNAcentral.
UCGUUGUAGCAAUACGAUGGAAAGUUUAGUGGCGAACGGGUGCUUAACACGUGGGCAACCUGCCAGGAAGUGGGGGAUAGCUCGCCGAAAGGCGAAUUAAUACCGCAUGUGAUUAGAGAGGACAUCCUUUCAAAAUUAAAGUCGGGGCAACCUGACGCUUCUUGUGGGGCCCGCGGCCUAUCAGCUAGUUGGUGAGGUAACGGCUCACCAAGGCUUUGACGGGUAGCUGGUCUGAGAGGACGACCAGCCACACUGGGACUGAGACACGGCCCAGACACCUACGGGUGGCAGCAGUCGAGAAUUUUUGACAAUGGGGGAAACCCUGAUCGAGCGACGCCGCGUGGAGGAUGAAGGUCCUCGGAUUGUAAACUCCUGUCAUUGGGGAACAAUGCACAGAUAUUAACUGUAUUUGUGUUGAUAGUACCCGAAGAGGAAGAGACGGCUAACUCUGUGCCAGCAGCCGCGGUAAUACAGAGGUCUCAAGCGUUGUUCGGAUUCAUUGGGCGUAAAGGGUGCGUAGGCGGCGCGGUAAGUCGGGUGUGAAAUCUCGGAGCUUAACUUCGAAACUGCAUUCGAUACUGCCGUGCUUGAGGACUGGAGAGGAGACUGGAAUUCUCGGUGUAGCA